Molecule: ribosomal RNA, 253 nt
Filed under: uncultured bacterium
Lineage: Bacteria
Description: partial 16S ribosomal RNA
Rfam family: Bacterial small subunit ribosomal RNA
Source: RNAcentral
UACGUAGGCAGCAAGCGUUGUUCGGAGUUACUGGGCGUAAAGGGUGUGUAGGCGGUUCUUUAAGUUUGGUGUGAAAUCUCCCGGCUCAACUGGGAGGGUGCGCCGAAUACUGAGGGACUAGAGUACGGGAGAGGAAAGUGGAAUUCCUGGUGUAGCGGUGAAAUGCGUAGAGAUCAGGAAGAACAUCGGUGGCGAAGGCGCUCUGCUGGACCAUAACUGACACUCAGGGACGAAAGCUAGGGGAGCGAAUGGG